GUGCGUAUAGCUCAGCUGGAUAGAGCGUCUGACUACGGAUCAGAAGGUCUGGGGUUCAAAUCCUCAUACGCACG
Molecule: transfer RNA, 74 nt
Filed under: Clostridiales bacterium
Lineage: Bacteria; Bacillati; Bacillota; Clostridia; Eubacteriales
Description: tRNA-Arg
Rfam family: tRNA
About the family: Transfer RNA (tRNA) molecules are approximately 80 nucleotides in length. Their secondary structure includes four short double-helical elements and three loops (D, anti-codon, and T loops).
Source: RNAcentral